Dunckerocampus dactyliophorus (ringed pipefish) is the source of this 431-nucleotide long non-coding RNA. RefSeq lists it as uncharacterized. NCBI's taxonomy places the organism in Eukaryota, Metazoa, Chordata, Actinopteri, Syngnathiformes, Syngnathidae. The transcript has 3 exons. The record is from RefSeq and is a predicted model, not a curated record.
UUGUCUCUUUCUUUAGGACUGGUUUGAAUUUAAUUAAAUGACACACUGGACUAAGGGAUUGAAUGUUCUGUCUAUCACGUGCUCAUGACUGACACACGAGAACAGGAAGAACAUCUACAGUACUUUUCUUUAUUGUGAAUAAAGGAGGCGACAUGUCGAGACCACCUUCGCAGACCACACCGCAGACCUACAGGGUGAGCGACAAAGACCUAACUGAGAUUGAGCUCCAUUCUGUGGACUCCAUCAACGACCUUCACCGGACACACCCUGACCACAACCAUAAGGGAUCGAGGCCACCCCGCCCAACUUAUACACCUUCCGUGAAUGGAAACCCACCUGUGCAUCACAUGACCAGUGUGGGCGGAGGAGGCGGCAAAUGGCAGAGUCGUCUUCAGGACAUGUUGACUCCCAGCUCAUCACGAGCGUACGCC